UACGAGGGGUGCAAGCGUUAUUCGGAAUGACUGGGCGUAAAGGGUGCGUAGACGGCACGUUAAGUCUUUUGUUAAAUACCUCAGCCUAACUGGGGAUCAGCAGGAGAAACUGGCGAGCUUGAGAUUGGAAGAGAGAAGUGGAAUUCUCGGAGUAGCGGUAAAAUGCGUAGAUCUCGAGAGGAACACCAAUGGCGAAGGCAGCUUCUUGGUCCAAUUCUGACGUUGAGGCACGAAAGCGUGGGGAGCAAACAGG
Molecule: ribosomal RNA, 253 nt
Filed under: uncultured bacterium
Lineage: Bacteria
Description: partial 16S ribosomal RNA
Rfam family: Bacterial small subunit ribosomal RNA
Source: RNAcentral